AUACGUAGGGUGCGAGCGUUAAUCGGAAUUACUGGGCGUAAAGCGUGCGCAGGCGGUUUUGUAAGACAGCUGUGAAACUCCCCGGGCUUAACCGUGGGAACUGCGGUUGUGACUGCAAGACUAGAGUGCGGCAGAGGGGGUGGAAUUCCACGUGUAGCAGUGAAAUGCGUAGAGAUGUGGAGGAACACCGAUGGCGAAGGCAGCCCCCUGGGUUGACACUGACGCUCAUGCACGAAAGCGUGGGUAGC
This 248-nucleotide ribosomal RNA is filed under the name uncultured bacterium. RNAcentral describes it as "partial 16S ribosomal RNA". It matches the Rfam family "Bacterial small subunit ribosomal RNA", at positions 523 to 769 of the family's 1533-position model. The record is from RNAcentral.